This 400-nucleotide ribosomal RNA is filed under the name uncultured bacterium. Its description in RNAcentral is "bacterial SSU rRNA". It matches the Rfam family "Bacterial small subunit ribosomal RNA", at positions 975 to 1375 of the family's 1533-position model. The record is from RNAcentral.
CAAGGUUUGACAUGCCGGUUACCGAUCUGAAAAGUGAGGGACCCUUCGGGGAGCCGGCACAGGUGGUGCAUGGUUGUCGUCAGCUCGUGCCGUGAGGUGUUGGGUUAAGUCCCGCAACGAGCGCAACCCUUAUCUUUAGUUGCCAGCACAUAAAGGUGGGCACUCUAGAGAGACUGCCGUCGACAAGGCGGAGGAAGGUGGGGAUGACGUCAAAUCAUCAUGCCCUUUAUAUCUUGGGCUACACACGUGCUACAAUGGCCGGUACAACGGGAAGCGAAAGCGCGAGCCGGGGCCAAUCCCAAAAAACCGGUCCCAGUUCGGAUUGCAGGCUGCAACUCGCCUGCAUGAAGUCGGAAUCGCUAGUAAUCGCAGGUCAGCAUACUGCGGUGAAUGCGUUCCC